CCCCAAAUGAAAGUUCACAGCCUGGGGAAAUUAAAUUGUCACGCUACAGAUUCAUAUUUAUCUAAGUUUCUUAAAACAAUUUGAUUUUGUCUCACAAUCGACGAAAGAAUAGGGGAACGAGUUUU
Neltuma alba is the source of this 125-nucleotide long non-coding RNA. RefSeq lists it as uncharacterized. Lineage: Eukaryota; Viridiplantae; Streptophyta; Magnoliopsida; Fabales; Fabaceae. The record is from RefSeq and is a predicted model, not a curated record. The transcript is spliced from 3 exons.